UACGGGAGGCAGCAGUGGGGAAUAUUGCACAAUGGGCGCAAGCCUGAUGCAGCCAUGCCGCGUGUAUGAAGAAGGCCUUCGGGUUGUAAAGUACUUUCAGUCGUGAGGAAGGUGUUAAGGUUAAUAACCUCAGCAAUUGACGUUAGCGACAGAAGAAGCACCGGCUAACUCCGUGCCAGCAGCCGCGGUAAUACGGAGGGUGCGAGCGUUAAUCGGAAUUACUGGGCGUAAAGGGCACGCAGGCGGUUAAUUAAGUUGGAUGUGAAAUCCCCGGGCUUAACCUGGGAAUGGCAUUCAAGACUGGUUAGCUAGAGUCUUGUAGAGGGGGUAGAAUUCCAUGUGUAGCGGUGAAAUGCGUAGAGAUGUGGAGGAAUACCGGUGGCGAAGGCGGCCCCUGGGACAAAGACUGACGCUCAUGUGCGAAAGCGUGGGGAGCAAACAGGGAUUAGAUACC
Molecule: ribosomal RNA, 454 nt
Filed under: uncultured bacterium
Lineage: Bacteria
Description: bacterial SSU rRNA
Rfam family: Bacterial small subunit ribosomal RNA
Source: RNAcentral